UCCAUCAUAUACCUCAUAUAUAGUGCAUGCAGGAAAAUGUGGAGCAGUUUCCUAACUUGUGUCUUGUCAUUUGUGUGUGUGUGUGCGUGUAUGUGUGUGUGCGUGCGUGCAUGCGUGUGUACUACGUGUGCAUGUCAGUGUGUGAAUUUGUGCAGAGUGGGGGGUGGAUGCAUGUGGGAAUGUGGUUUCUUGUUUAUCUAUGUAGCUGUGCAGAAGGCGCGAGAGGGAAAGAAGGAGGGCGUGAGGGAGGGAGAGAGGGAGAAAAAGAGAGAGAGAUUUGUGAGCCAUUUGUAUUUGCAAACUCCUGGCUGAGGUCCCACUGGCGGCAGGAAGAUCGGACUGAAAGAGUGCAUGGUAGGAUUGUGCUCCUGUGUGUGUUUGUGCAUGUGUCUGGUUGAGACAUACAGAUAGAGAGGGAACGCAUUAAAUCCAUUUCAUCCAUACUGGCCCCGAACAUGGAAGUGUUGUCCAUUUCCACUACCCAACCAACAUAGAUUGCUGUUGUCCAACUUCUGGCCCCAUUGCCGGCAGAAGGAGACUGAAGACAGAGGUGCUCAUAACUCUGGAGAAGGUGGGGACGAAGAUAAAAUGAUGAUGAGCGAGUUUAUCACCAUAUCUGAGAAGCUAUUUUAAGGAAACCAGAGCCUAUGCAUCAUCAUCUUCCUCAUUCCCUCUGGUUUGCUCUCAACGUCAUUUAAACCUCAACACCAGCAUGGGUGGUAACCAAUUUUGGCACAUGGCUUGCCCUCUCAGGCCAAGAGAAACACACAAGCAGAAAGAUAAACAGCACUUAAGUUUGAAGGCUUCCAUAGUCAACCAAUUGAUGAAAGCUGAACCUAUAUCACAGAAAGAACCGAUACUGUGGCAAGUUUACAAACACCACAUCGUUUAAAUUUGGAAAUGCAGACAUUUUUAAAACAAGUGGUCUGUGUGGCAACCGGCAAGCUACUGUGGGAUUUUCCACUUGUCUGAGACAAACUGAAGCUACAGUAAGAAAAUUGGAACCAAUGGAAAUAAAUUCAGUCGCGCUUUUCAAUUUUUCUCAAAGAUUGUGAGUACGAAUUAAGAAUGUCUUGAUACCGAUCAUUUAAUUAGAAAAUGAAUCCAAUCACAUCAUUUUCAGCUGAUCAGAAUCGGGGGGAGAAUUAUUUUAAGGGUCACAAAGCAACAAAAUAAUAUAGACGUACAGAAAUAUUGCCAAAAGAAAAAAUAUGUGGAUGUACAGGUUUUAUUCGACGCAACAGUGCAACACGGCUGGAAACAAGGAGUAAACACUGCUAGUGGGGGAACAUUCUCGUAGUAGUUGUGGGAAGCUAACGUGAAGCUAGUGUCAUGUAACAUUGAUAAUGUCUCGAGUAUGUAAAUAUUUUACUAUUAUAUCACAUAUAUAUGUAUAUGUAUAUACAUAUAUACACACUAUAUAUAACCGAGAUUUGCAGUGUGUGCAAAUUGAGCAUGGGGAAUGGCAGAAAGAGCUGUGUUUACUCAACUAAUGUCUACACUUGGUUUAAGCCACACUGCUCCACUAGCUGUAAAAAACGUUUCAUGUUGGGAUAGUUUUGUUGAUUAAAAAUGGACAAUCUCGA
This is a long non-coding RNA of Syngnathus typhle (broad-nosed pipefish), 1586 nucleotides long. RefSeq lists it as uncharacterized. The transcript is spliced from 2 exons. Lineage: Eukaryota; Metazoa; Chordata; Actinopteri; Syngnathiformes; Syngnathidae. The record is from RefSeq and is a predicted model, not a curated record.